Molecule: ribosomal RNA, 253 nt
Filed under: uncultured bacterium
Lineage: Bacteria
Description: partial 16S ribosomal RNA
Rfam family: Bacterial small subunit ribosomal RNA
Source: RNAcentral
UACGGGGGGGGCAAGCGUUGUUCGGAAUUACUGGGCGUAAAGGGCUCGUAGGCGGCCAACUAAGUCGGCCGUGAAAUCCCUCGGCUUAACCGGGGAACUGCGUCCGAUACUGGAUGGCUUGAGUUUGGGAGAGGGAUGCGGAAUUCCAGGUGUAGCGGUGAAAUGCGUAGAUAUCUGGAGGAACACCGGUGGCGAAGGCGGCAUCCUGGACCAACACUGACGCUGAGGAGCGAAAGCCAGGGGAGCAAACGGG